UACGUAGGGGGCAAGCGUUGUCCGGAAUCAUUGGGCGUAAAGCGCGUGUAGGCGGCCCGAUAAGUCCGCUGUGAAAGUCCAGGGCUCAACCCUGGAAUGCCGGUGGAUACUGUCGGGCUCGAGUCCGGAAGAGGCGAGUGGAAUUCCUGGUGUAGCGGUGAAAUGCGCAGAUAUCAGGAAGAACACCCGUGGCGAAGGCGGCUCUCUGGGACGGUACUGACGCUGAGACGCGAAAGCGUGGGGAGCGAACAGG
Molecule: ribosomal RNA, 253 nt
Filed under: uncultured bacterium
Lineage: Bacteria
Description: partial 16S ribosomal RNA
Rfam family: Bacterial small subunit ribosomal RNA
Source: RNAcentral